CGGCGAUGGCGCUCCUGGCCUUAAUGCCGGGUCGUGCCUCACGGCGCUUUACUUUCGAAGAAAAUAGAGUGCCAAAGCAAGCCACGCUCUGUAUACAUUAGCAUGGGAUAAUCAUUAUAGAUUUCGGUCCUUUACGUUGGCCAUUCGGGAUGCGGUAGUAAUGAUUAACAGGGAAGUCGGGGCCAUUCGUAUUCAUAUGUCAGAGCGUGAAAUUCUUGGAUUUAGUGAAAGGCACGCAACAACUGCGAAAAGCAGUUUGCCAAGAUUUUUUCAUUAAUGCAAGGAGAAGAAAGUGGGAGGGCUGAGACGAUCAGAGUACGUCCUGAAGUUUCUCAACCAGAAACGAUGCCACCGAGGGAUCGGCGUGUGUUUGCUUUUAGGACUCCGCCGCACCUUAUUGAGAAAAUCAAAGUCUUUGGUUCCGGGGGGGAGUAUGGUCGCAAUGCUGAAACUUAAGGAAUUGACGGAAAGGGCACCACCAGGAUGGAGCCUGCGGGUUAAUUUGACUCAUCACGGGAAACUUACCAGGUCAGACAUAGUAAGGAUUGACAGCACUGAGAGCUCUUCGAAGAUUCUUCAUUGUGGUGUCGUGCAUGGCCGUUCUUAGUGGUGGCAGCGAUUGUCUUGGUUAAUUCCAGAGGUAACGAACGAGACCUCAGCUUGCUAACUAGCCUAUCGGAUGGUAUCCCUCCGCGGCCAGCGUCUUAAGGGACUACGGCCUUUUCCAGCCGCGAGUUGAGGCAAUAAUGCCGGUAUGUGAUGCCUUAUAUGUUCUGGGGCCGCACGCGCCGCUACACUAUGUUAGUUCAACGAGCAUAUAGCCUUGGCCGACAGGCCCGGGUAAUCUUUGAAAUUUUCAUCGUGAUGGACGAAGAUCAUUGCAAUGUUGUCUUCAACGAGGAAUUGCUAGUAAUGCAGCGACGUCUCAGCUCGCGUGAUCUACGUUCCGCUGCCCUUGUACAUCACCGCCCCGUCGCUCUACCAGAUUGAAUGAUCGGAAGUGUUCUGCGAUCGCGGCACCAGUGGGCGUUCGCUGCCGCCGACGUCGCGAGAAGUCCACUGAACCUUUCAUUUAGAGGAAGGCAGAAGUCGUACGAAAGGUUUCCGUAGUUGAAACCUGCGCGAGAUCAUGU
This 1133-nucleotide non-coding RNA is filed under the name Ipomoea nil (Japanese morning glory). RNAcentral describes it as "Eukaryotic small subunit ribosomal RNA". It matches the Rfam family "Eukaryotic small subunit ribosomal RNA", at positions 704 to 1831 of the family's 1831-position model. Lineage: Eukaryota; Viridiplantae; Streptophyta; Magnoliopsida; Solanales; Convolvulaceae. The record is from Rfam by way of RNAcentral.